CCCUGCUUGUUCUCUUUCUCUAAAUAAAUAAAUAAACUUAAAAAAAAAAUCAACACUGAUUUUAAGUUUAGUAAGAAAGAUGCAGUGAGAACUCGUAUGUCAGAUCUCUCGAGUCGAAUGUGCCUAUUUAAUGUCCUAGCUCAGAAAAAGAGAUCGGGUUUUUAGUUGACCUUUAAGAAAAUGAUCUGAGGGAUUCAUGUUUAUCCGUCCCCCUUUCUGGUACAGUUGUGGGAAACUUGGACUCUUUCAACACAUCAGAUCCAACUGCAGAAUCUCCGAGUGAAUCUACGUGUUUGUGACGACUCAGGCUGCAGGGGUACGGCUUUGUCACAAAAUGCUUUUCUCUCUUCGAGAAAAAUGUGUAUCCUCUGAGCAUGGUAGGAACGCGCCAUGUUGAAUUAGAAAUGAGCAGUGCGGUACCGGCUGGAGGAGUAGCUCUGCUUGGCGAUCUUGAAAUAAAUGCAGCUGGGAUAAUUUUCGAUUCAACCCUUGGCAAACCUUCGGUGUGUACAAGAAAAAAAAAAGCUGUGGAGGAGGCUUAACUGCUGUAGGCGCUCAGCAGCCAUCACUCUCUCUCUCGAAGUUUCCAGUAAACGGUAGGUCAGCUCUGCGUCCUGCUGAGGUCUGGUGAGCACUCUGGGAAGAAAUGAUUCUUAUUAAGUGAGUUCAUAUGUCUAAUUGCUGAGCACAGGGCCUGGCACAUUGAAGUGCUUAAUGAAUAUUAGCUUUUAUUUUUAAAACGUAUUAUUAUUUAGGAUUAUUAACUUCCUAAGGCUCAAUGGGUACCCUGAAGGGUCACGAUUAUGGACCCAAUUUCCUCCUCUACCCGUAUGGUCUCUCAGUUCUAGACUGACAUACCCAGGCUUUAUACCCCACGCCUUCAAAGGAGACCACGUACUGCUGGGAACGUGGCUUUCAGUUCCAUAGCAGCUCUGAAACUGAUUUCUGUAUUACAAGGUUUCAGGUGAUCAUGGUUCACUGGUAGAAUCAGGGAAGUUCAGAAGCCGACAGAAUCUCCCCCUUCUGGGCCGAUUCCUUUCUGAGUUCCCAGGAGAACUAGGUUUUGGAAUUUUCCCUAAAUGUCUAUCCUCCUAGGGCUGAAUCGAACCUUUGGCGUUUCCUGUUCUACACUGGGAACCAGAAGCUUUCUGAAUUAUCUCAUAGGACAUUUCCUGAUCUGUGAAUCUUUUAGAGCCUGAAGAUCAUGUUUUUCCCCUCAUCAUCUCCUGACUCUCAGUCUCCAAGGAACAUACAAACUCAUUCUGCCUUCUACCUCCAGAAUGAGGCUCUCUUUCCUGGGACAUCCUGGUCAGCCAGAGUCAUUUUAUCCCACCCUGCCGGUGUCACUCGUCACAAAGCUCUUGACGUUCAGUUAGGAAUAAAUAAGUUACCACCAGAAUCAAAGUCAAGUUGAGUUUAUCAAACGUUGGGUGUUUUCGCAUGGGGGGGGGGAGGAUGGUGGAAAUAGGUGGUGGGGAUGAAAAGGACACUUACCGUGUUGAGCAGUAGGUAAUGUACAGGAUUGUUGAAUCGCUAUACUGUACCCCCCAAACCGAUAUCACACUGUAUGUUAUCUGUGCUGGAAUUAAAAUGAAAAAGCUUAAU
Herpailurus yagouaroundi (jaguarundi) is the source of this 1605-nucleotide long non-coding RNA. RefSeq lists it as uncharacterized. The record is from RefSeq and is a predicted model, not a curated record. Lineage: Eukaryota; Metazoa; Chordata; Mammalia; Carnivora; Felidae. The transcript is spliced from 2 exons.